RNAcentral lists this long non-coding RNA (1257 nucleotides) under Scophthalmus maximus (turbot). RNAcentral's name for it is "lncRNA (ENSSMAG00000024271.1)". The record is from RNAcentral. Lineage: Eukaryota; Metazoa; Chordata; Actinopteri; Pleuronectiformes; Scophthalmidae.
AUGUCCUCUCUGGGGUCCAGUGGCGGCGGCUCUCUGCUGCAGGUUCCAGGAGCUCUGCCCGCCAUAAGCCACGCUACCCUGGGGUCCGGACGCAGCGCGAGGCCCGUGAUCCGCCUCAGCACCGCUCAGAGCGUGGACAGACACUCCCCACACAGACUCAGUCCGUCUGACAGCGUAGAGGGACGCCGCUGGAGUCCCGCUCACGGAACAAACAGACACAGGCUCAACUCGGCCCACAGCAUCGACGGAUACAAGUUCAGCCCGGCACAUCGGAUAAACAGACACAGACUCAGCUCUGCGCACAGUAUGGACGGAUACCGGCUGAACUCGGAAGAGAGCACAGACAGGCCCCGGCUCAUGUCCAGCCACAGUAUAGACAGACAUCCGUCGCUCAGACCGAGUCCCACUCACAGUGCCGGCAGACAGCCCUCCCAUUGGCUCAGCCCCGAGGACAGUUUAGACAGAAACAAGUUGAGUCCCUCCUACAUCCCAGACAGGUCCGUUCUGAGGAGACCCGCAUCGUUCCACACGGCGAGCAGACAGCUGCGGAGACAGGCGGCCGUUCGCUGUGACUCUCUGGACCAGAGCGGAUCAGCCGACAGUCUGGCGGAGCCUCACCUCGCCGUGUCCGCCGCCCCUUCCACGCCGCCGCGCCAGCGAUCGUCCAGUGUACACACACUGAAAUAUACACACCCCCAGAGGGUCAUCUCGUGCCGCAGCCACAGCCGGAGCCACAGUGAAACCACUGGACAGGAACAUGUACCCGAGCAGGCCACCUGCGGCUCGCAGCCAGCGGCAGACGUCGGCAAACGGCCCGUCAGCCCGCAGAGCCUGUCCAGUCUGAAGGCGUCCGGCGGUGAAUCCGCCCCAUCGGCUCCGCCCUGCAGCUCCAGAGCGGCGAGCCUCGGCCCCGGCUCCGGACCCGGGCCUCAGGCAGACACCGCGGACGAGGAGGUCAACCGUAUUAACAGUUCUGCGCACACUGACUCACACGCACAGCUUCCUCCCAGCUCCUCACACAAAACCAGACACCUUAACCCGAGUCCCGGGGAGCACAGGAGCCGCCUCAGCCAAUCAAUGUCCCCGGUGUCGGGCAGGAACAUGAAGCAGAGGAUGAGCCCGCCGCCGGGGGAGGAGCAGGUCACUACUGCCACCCAAUUGAUGGACAGCAGUGUUGAGCUGAGGAGGCGGACUCUGUCAUUUGAUGCCACGUCCCUCUCUCCUAAUCAACCAGAGGGGAGCUCCGUGGACGACUAA